CACGGGGGGAGCAAGCGUUGUUCGGAAUCACUGGGCGUAAAGGGCGUGUAGGCGGUCAGAUAAGUGAGAUGUGAAAUCCCUCGGCUCACCCGAGGACCUGCAUCUCAUACUGUUUGGCUUGAGUACGGGAGAGGAUGAGGGAAUUCCUGGUGUAGCGGUGAAAUGCGUAGAUAUCAGGAGGAACACCGGUGGCGAAGGCGCUCAUCUGGCCCGAUACUGACGCUGAGGCGCGAAAGCUAGGGGAGCAAACGGG
Molecule: ribosomal RNA, 253 nt
Filed under: uncultured bacterium
Lineage: Bacteria
Description: partial 16S ribosomal RNA
Rfam family: Bacterial small subunit ribosomal RNA
Source: RNAcentral